Molecule: long non-coding RNA, 1119 nt
Filed under: Mytilus galloprovincialis (Mediterranean mussel)
Lineage: Eukaryota; Metazoa; Mollusca; Bivalvia; Mytilida; Mytilidae
Source: RNAcentral
ACUUGAUAUAAUGUUAACUAAUUUAGAGGCAAAUAUCUUGAAAAGACCUUGAUUGAUAGUACCUGGUCAGCACACAUGAAUUACAUUGCUGGAGACCAAAUAUAUGAAAAUGUUGAUAUAUUGAUACAAUGCAACAUGAUUUUUUAACAAAGGUAUCAAAUCCUUAUUGUAGAUAGUUAUGAUAUAUUAUAUGUCAAAAGUACAAUAUUAUUUAAUCAUUUAAAAUAUUGAUAGUGCAUUACAAUUGAGAUUUGCUUUAAAGGUGUCAGAGAGAUUUGGUAUGAAAUCAGCGUGAGAGAAAAUAUCUUUCAUAAAGUCUCUUAACCUCAAGGUCCGGACAAUUGAUAAUUGGAAGUAAAUUUAUAUUGUUAUCAGCUUACUUGUAUUUCAUGAACUUUAAAUUACUGGUAAUGAGGAUAAUGUCCUGCUAUAAUCUUUAAUAUCAACACAUGUUUAAAAUAUGUUUUAAAUUGUGAUAAAUGAUCUGUUUUGUAGGAGAGUCACAAUCUACCUGAUGCUAUAGAGAGAGAAGCAUUUUACCACCAUAAAAGAUUAAUCAAUUAUGAUUAUCGUAGAACUAUGAGAACUCUUGUAUUUACACUGAAAAAUAAUGAGGACAUUCGAAAGACAAGUUAUAACUGGAGAACUUAAAGUACCAGAAUUUGUACAAACAUACAAAAAAUGAUGAUUAGUAUUGAGUUUCUCAAAAUCUGUGAUAAAAAUACACCUAUAUCCUGUUGUACAUGGCAUUUAAGGAUAGAAGAAUGUUGUCUUCAGGGGUCUGGUGGCAAUCAUUGAUCACAUCAAGAUAUGCCAAGCUAUGAAUGUGUUUCUUGAUGAAGAAAUUAAGCAAACAGAAUUUUUCUUUAAAAAAAGAAAAAUGAAUUUAUGUAAAGUGCUAACUCAUUUUAAAUUUCAAUGCCAAUUUAAAUAAACUAAUUGAGAUUUAAUACAAUUGCAUGAGUUAUAUAAAAAAUUUACUGUUGUGUGAUUCUUAUUAACUUUGGGAACACUGGUUUCACAUUUACAUUAUUUUGAUAACCAGUAAUAUGUUAACUGUUUUAUGUAUCUGUAAUUAAUUUUGAUAUUUUUUUUUUAUGUUUUUACUUAUUCAUGUUG